RNAcentral lists this ribosomal RNA (612 nucleotides) under Pseudoxycheila chaudoiri. RNAcentral's name for it is "partial 16S ribosomal RNA". It matches the Rfam family "Bacterial large subunit ribosomal RNA", at positions 1844 to 2739 of the family's 2925-position model. Lineage: Eukaryota; Metazoa; Arthropoda; Insecta; Coleoptera; Carabidae. The record is from RNAcentral.
UUUAAGGUCUAACCUGCCCAAUGAUUAUUUAAAUGGCCGCAGUAUUUUGACUGUGCAAAGGUAGCAUAAUUAUUAGUUUUUUAAUUGAGAGCUUGUAUGAAAGGUUGGACGAGAUAACAACUGUCUUUAUUUAAUUAAUAUAGAAUUUAACUUUUAAGUUAAAAGGCUUAAAUUUAAUUAAAAGACGAGAAGACCCUAUAGAUCUUUAUUUUUAAAUUAAUUUAUUUAGUUAGGAUUAUUUAAAAAUUAAUUUAUUUAAAAAUUUUAUUGGGGUAAUAUGGAGAUUAAUUAAAUUCUUUAUUUUAGUAACAUUUAUUUAUGAAAAAUUGAUCCAAUUUUAUUGAUUAUAAGAUUAAGUUACCUUAGGGAUAACAGCGUAAUUUUUUUGGAGAGUUCUUAUCGAUAAAAAAGUUUGCGACCUCGAUGUUGGAUUAAAAAUUAUUUUGGGUGAAGAAGUUCAAAAAUUUAGUCUGUUCGACUAUUAAAUUUUUACAUGAUCUGAGUUCAGACCGGCGUAAGCCAGGUCGGUUUCUAUCUUUAGUUUUAUUUAAAUAUUUUAGUACGAAAGGACCAAGUAUUUUAUAUAUUAAUAUUUAUAUUUUGAAUUUUAUU